CCUACGGGCGGCAGCAGUGAGGAAUUUUGGUCAAUGGGCGCUAGCCUGAACCAGCUAAGUAGCGUGAAGGAUGACUGCCCUAUGGGUUGUAAACUUCUUUUAUAUGGGAAUAAAGUGCAGUAUGUAUACUGCUUUGCAUGUACCUUAUGAAUAAGGUUCGGCUAACUCCGUGCCAGCAGCCGCGGUAAUACGGAGGAUCCGAGCGUUAUCCGGAUUUAUUGGGUUUAAAGGGAGCGUAGGCGGGUUGUUAAGUCAGUUGUGAAAGUUUGCGGCUCAACCGUAAAAUUGCAGUUGAUACUGGCAUCCUUGAGUACAGUAGAGGUAGGCGGAAUUCGUGGUGUAGCGGUGAAAUGCUUAGAUAUGACGAAGAACUCCGAUUGCGAAGGCAGCCUGCUGGACUGUAACUGACGCUGAUGCUCGAAAGUGUGGGUAGCAAACAGGAUUAGAUACCCUUGUAGUC
Molecule: ribosomal RNA, 460 nt
Filed under: uncultured bacterium
Lineage: Bacteria
Description: partial 16S ribosomal RNA
Rfam family: Bacterial small subunit ribosomal RNA
Source: RNAcentral